Molecule: non-coding RNA, 30 nt
Filed under: Mus musculus (house mouse)
Lineage: Eukaryota; Metazoa; Chordata; Mammalia; Rodentia; Muridae
Source: RNAcentral
UAAUCAGUACACCUUACAGUGCUGGCUUUG